AUCUUGGUAGCUUAAGUAAUAAAGCUUUAGUCUUUUAAACUAAAAAUGUGAAGGUCACCCUUGAUA
Molecule: transfer RNA, 66 nt
Filed under: Cultellus attenuatus
Lineage: Eukaryota; Metazoa; Mollusca; Bivalvia; Adapedonta; Cultellidae
Description: tRNA-Lys
Rfam family: tRNA
About the family: Transfer RNA (tRNA) molecules are approximately 80 nucleotides in length. Their secondary structure includes four short double-helical elements and three loops (D, anti-codon, and T loops). Further hydrogen bonds mediate the characteristic L-shaped molecular structure. tRNAs have two regions of fundamental functional importance: the anti-codon, which is responsible for specific mRNA codon recognition, and the 3' end, to which the tRNAs corresponding amino acid is attached (by aminoacyl-tRNA synthetases). tRNAs cope with the degeneracy of the genetic code in two manners: having more than one tRNA (with a specific anti-codon) for a particular amino acid; and 'wobble' base-pairing, i.e. permitting non-standard base-pairing at the 3rd anti-codon position.
Source: RNAcentral